RNAcentral lists this unclassified non-coding RNA (836 nucleotides) under Hevea brasiliensis (rubber tree). Lineage: Eukaryota; Viridiplantae; Streptophyta; Magnoliopsida; Malpighiales; Euphorbiaceae. The record is from RNAcentral.
UUUUUAGUCAUCAUGAAAAACUACGCGAUUUAACUAGCUUAAAUAAAAGACAGGCACCAAUUCCAGGAAAAAUAAAAUAUUAUACAUCACAAUAAUCUGCGACAACAUCACACCAUUGGUUCAGAACAGAGGUUCAUUCAGAACAAGUAUGGCCAAUUCUACCCUAUGCAUACCGACAAUCUGAAUCCUCCCCCCUACUAAAAGCUACCUAUCCCAAAAGGGAAACAUAGUGCCUACGACUGCUCUUCACUUUCUCUUCUUAGCAGGAGGCUGUGGAACCUCUUCCUCCUCUUCUUCCUCCUCUUCAUCUUCUUCAUCCUCUUCAUCAUCAUCUUCAUCACCAUCAUCAUCGUCAUCAUCGUCAUCCUCAUCAUCACUUCCUCCUUCACCAUUAGCUUCAGGAUCAUCCUCAGGAUCUCCUUCCUCUCCCCCCUCUUCACCUGAGAAAUCACCAUCGCCUUCAUCAUCCGGGUCUUCUGCAUUAUCAUCAUCAUCUUCUUCAUCAUCAUCUUCUGUAUCACUAGCAUCUUUGUUUUCUGCAUCAGGGUGCUUGAUCUUGAAAAGUUCAUUUAGAGGAAACCUCUCAUCCAUUGCAGUUAAUUUUGGUAAUGCAUCGAUAUCAUUAGGUAAUGAUCCAACCACAAAGAACAGAUAAGCAAGAGACUUCCAAGCUGCAAGUGCAGUCUCUACCACCAUAGCUUCCAUAACAGAGCAUGCCCACAAGGUCCUCUCCACAGAACUGACACUACCCACCUCCAUUGCUAAAGAAAAAAACUAUACCCAAUAAACACAGAAACAAAAGAAAAAUCAGUAGGCGGGUUAGAGACGGAAGGAGU